RNAcentral lists this long non-coding RNA (1002 nucleotides) under Anser cygnoides (Swan goose). RNAcentral's name for it is "lncRNA (ENSACDG00005017003.1)". The record is from RNAcentral. Lineage: Eukaryota; Metazoa; Chordata; Aves; Anseriformes; Anatidae.
AUGGCAUUUUUUAUGGACAAAUCACACAGCGUAUUUUUAACCACAUUUCCUGGUACUUCGUGUAUUAACUGCUUGCAGAUAGAAGAGCUGGGAAGCUUGGACUGGGAUGGUCUGGCUCGCAGGGAUCUCUGUGCUGAUUGUGCAAGGCAUGUGUGGGACAGGGUGGCUGAGACAACUGCAGAGCAGAAGUCCAGGAGGAGGAGGAGUAUUUUUGAUGCAGCUCCCAGGGGACCUCUCGAGGCAAAGAUGCCUGCGCGCUGCGGUACACCACUCGCCCAGAUGUUUAUACCAUGGUGUGAGCACAACAAACCUGGAGACAAGCUGUUCCUGGGAGUAGGCACGGGGACAGGCACGCAAGAACACCCCAGGGUGCUGCGUGGGGCCACCAGCCCUACCAGCCUUCUGUCCCCCUCAGCUGGCACACUGCAGCUACCAUCUGCAGGGCCGUGGGCUGGACCAGGCCACCAGGCUGGAGAGGUCCCGUGUGCUCGGGGUGUCGCCACGGUGGGUGAUAUUUGCUGUGUGAAUAAUGAAUCAGUUUAUCAGGAUGUCCCUGGGAUGUUCCUCAGCCCAGACAUGCCCCAAAUAUCUGAGACGGUUCCUAAGAAAAUAGAUAAGACAGAGGCCAAACAGACGAAGGGGUCUGCUGACUUUGCUAAUUGUCAUGUUUCAUUGAUGCUUUCAUUAAAUCAACAUUGGGGCACAGAUAUUUCUAGCCAGUGUCUCAGUAAAAGGAUGUAUGUGUAUGUAUGUAAGUGUAAAACGCUACCAAGUGCACAUGCCUCCCGCUCUCACAGCUGCACUUGCAAUGGCCAAGUGCUGCCUCUCAGGGACUGCUGUACGGGGCUGCUGCUCUCGUUCCUUCCCAGUGGCCAAACUUCUGCUUGGCACAGCCACAUGCUGGAUGGCAGAGCAUGUGCAAGGGUCCCAGACCAACAUUUCUUCAUAGAAUUGGUUAUAUUUUAUUUAUUCGAUAUUAUACAGUUUUAUAAAAUGUUAUAA